ACACAAAAAUGCACAUAUUGUGAGCUCGAUGAGUAGGGCGGGACACGUGGUAUCCUGUCUGAAUAUGGGGGGACCAUCCUCCAAGGCUAAAUACUCCUGACUGACCGAUAGUGAACCAGUACCGUGAGGGAAAGGCGAAAAGAACCCCGGCGAGGGGAGUGAAAAAGAACCUGAAACCGUGUACGUACAAGCAGUGGGAGCACGCUUAGGCGUGUGACUGCGUACCUUUUGUAUAAUGGGUCAGCGACUUAUAUUCUGUAGCAAGGUUAACCGAAUAGGGGAGCCGAAGGGAAACCGAGUCUUAACUGGGCGUUAAGUUGCAGGGUAUAGACCCGAAACCCGGUGAUCUAGCCAUGGGCAGGUUGAAGGUUGGGUAACACUAACUGGAGGACCGAACCGACUAAUGUUGAAAAAUUAGCGGAUGACUUGUGGCUGGGGGUGAAAGGCCAAUCAAACCGGGAGAUAGCUGGUUCUCCCCGAAAGCUAUUUAGGUAGCGCCUCGUGAAUUCAUCUCCGGGGGUAGAGCACUGUUUCGGCAAGGGGGUCAUCCCGACUUACCAACCCGAUGCAAACUGCGAAUACCGGAGAAUGUUAUCACGGGAGACACACGGCGGGUGCUAACGUCCGUCGUGAAGAGGGAAACAACCCAGACCGCCAGCUAAGGUCCCAAAGUCAUGGUUAAGUGGGAAACGAUGUGGGAAGGCCCAGACAGCCAGGAUGUUGGCUUAGAAGCAGCCAUCAUUUAAAGAAAGCGUAAUAGCUCACUGGUCGAGUCGGCCUGCGCGGAAGAUGUAACGGGGCUAAACCAUGCAC
This 813-nucleotide ribosomal RNA is filed under the name Escherichia coli. Its description in RNAcentral is "partial 23S ribosomal RNA". It matches the Rfam family "Bacterial large subunit ribosomal RNA", at positions 377 to 1194 of the family's 2925-position model. The record is from RNAcentral. Lineage: Bacteria; Pseudomonadati; Pseudomonadota; Gammaproteobacteria; Enterobacterales; Enterobacteriaceae.